RNAcentral lists this long non-coding RNA (1169 nucleotides) under Homo sapiens (human). RNAcentral describes it as "HSALNT0321311". Lineage: Eukaryota; Metazoa; Chordata; Mammalia; Primates; Hominidae. The record is from RNAcentral.
CUCACUUAACAUAAAACAUGGAGUCAACUAAGGCUUCCAUUUAACUAGGCUAUCAAACACAAAGCCCUCAUUCUUACAAUACUCUUCUAAUGAUAGUUCCAUCUUUAUGAACAUUCCAGGAUCUCUACAUACAGUGUGAAAAAAAUAAGAGAAGAAAUGGAAGCCUAGAGGCAAGAUGACAGAAGAAACUGUAGUGUUAAUCCAGAUAAGACAUUGAAGAGCUAAACCAGGAUUUUGGGAAAAGAGAGGCCUGAGGAGAAGGAGAGAGAUGGAGAACAGCAUGUUGGUGGAGGAGUCAGCAUACAAAGUUUAUAGAUUAAGUUUGUCAUCCUAUAUGGACAGUUUUUGGGACUCCAAAAUAAUUAUAAAAGUAAUAUCAAAGACCACUGGUCACAGAUUACUAUGACAGAUAUAACAAUCAUGAAAAUGUUUGAAAUAUUACAAGUAUUACCAAAAUGUUACACAGAAACAAGCGAGCACAUGCUACUGGGGAAAGGGAACCUCUAGAUUUGCUUGCACCAGGGUUGCCACAAAACUUCAAUUCAUAAAAAGUGCAGUAUCUGCAAAAUGCAAUAAAGCAAAGUGCAGAAAAAUGAAGUAUGCCUGUAUUGGCGUGUAAGUAAUAGGGGGAAAAGAUUACUCCUUGCAUGAUGCCAAGAUUUCUGGCCUGGGAAGCUGGGUAUAUGGUGAUGUCAUUAAUCAAUAUAAUAAACACAGGAGGAACAAUCUCAGAGAGAGAGUGACAAGUUCCUCUUCUCACUUGCUGAGUUUGAGGUGCCUCAGUGGUAUCCAAGAAGAAAGAUAACCUGUGAUCAGCUGAAUAAAUAGUUCUGAAAUACAGAAAAUGCAUCUUGGCUAGAGAUGCAUAAAUUUGGAACUAUCACAAAGGGGACAAAUGCCUAAGGAUCAUUCAAAGAUGAAAAUUAAAGGCUAUCCAGUAAACCAAAAGAUUAUUUCUCCAGAGAUUCUGUAUAUACAAUAAUUGUCUUAUUAUACACAGCAUUACAGUUUACAAAGUACUUACAUAAAAUGAUUCAUUUGAUUCACAAAAAUCCCUCAUGGGAAAUAAUGUGCUAUAAUUCUCACAUUACAGUUAGGAAAAUUGAGGUUCAAUUUUGUUAAGAGACUCAUGAGAGGUUGCCCAUCUAAAGUUGUGGAGACAAGUCCAA